This 391-nucleotide ribosomal RNA is filed under the name uncultured bacterium. RNAcentral's name for it is "bacterial SSU rRNA". It matches the Rfam family "Bacterial small subunit ribosomal RNA", at positions 28 to 413 of the family's 1533-position model. The record is from RNAcentral.
GAUGAACGCUAGCGGCAGGCCUAACACAUGCAAGUCGAGGGGCAGCACGAUAAAGCUUGCUUUAUUGGUGGCGACCGGCGCACGGGUGCGUAACGCGUAUGCAACCUACCCUGUACUGGGGGAUAACCCGGAGAAAUUCGGACUAACACCCCAUAGUAAUAUACUUUCGCAUGUUAGUAUAUUUAAAGGUUACGGUACAGGAUGGGCAUGCGUCCUAUUAGCUAGAUGGUGAGGUAACGGCUCACCAUGGCGAUGAUAGGUAGGGGGCCGUGAGAGGGUGGUCCCCCACACUGGUACUGAGACACGGACCAGACUCCUACGGGAGGCAGCAGUGAGGAAUAUUGGUCAAUGGGCGCAAGCCUGAACCAGCCAUGCCGCGUGCAGGAAGAAU